UACGUAGGGUGCGAGCGUUAAUCGGAAUUACUGGGCGUAAAGGGUGCGCAGGCGGCGUCGCAAGUCAGGCGUGAAAUCCCCGGGCUUAACCUGGGAACUGCACUUGAAACUACGAUGCUGGAGUAUGGCAGAGGGAGGUGGAAUUCCACGUGUAGCGGUGAAAUGCGUAGAGAUGUGGAGGAGCACCGAUGGCGAAGGCAGCCUCCUGGGCCAAUACUGACGCUCAUGCACGAAAGCGUGGGGAGCAAACAGG
RNAcentral lists this ribosomal RNA (253 nucleotides) under uncultured bacterium. RNAcentral's name for it is "partial 16S ribosomal RNA". It matches the Rfam family "Bacterial small subunit ribosomal RNA", at positions 524 to 776 of the family's 1533-position model. The record is from RNAcentral.